GGACCCAGGCUGACCAACUGGGUAGCAGAAUUUCCGAGUGGAGUCUCACAAUGUUCCAGUAUCGAUGGUGUGUCAGAAACCAGAAACAUCGAACCAGACAAACGGCUUUGUACACAGUGUGCGACCCGCUGCGGCUACCAACGCCACUAUGACGCACGGAUACGUGAUGGGGAGGUGGGAAGUGUAGAACGGAGCAGUGCAGGUGGAAAGAGGCAGAACUGGAAACACGACAGCUGGUGCCGGGUGUGAGAGAAGGCUGCGGCUGAUGGAGUAACGGAGCAUCGGAGCAUCGUCUAGUGGGAUCGGUAGGUAGGGUGCAGUGGCCUGGAACUUGUGCGGACUCGGACCAGUUUACCUGAUUGGACCUCCUUGAAAAUCCUGCAUGUCCUGUACUUCCCCGGGAAGCCAUGCUGGAGACCACGUGGAUGUUCGUGGUGUGCGGUGUAGCCAGAUACUAUGUAGAAGUCCAGGCACCGUGCUCCUGCUGACUGUAAAAGGAAUUCAACGAAGGAACUGAAGCAGAAACCACAAAUGGAUGCUACUCACCGUCCUGUUUUCUUAUACAACCCAGGACCACAGGCCCAGAGGCGGCACCAUCCACAGCAGGCCUUCCACAUCAACCAUCAAUCAAGAAAACGCCCCACAGACACACGCCUUCAGCCAAUCUGAUCAUACACGUAUCUUUUUGUGGUACCAAGCCUAAUGUUUUGUAGACAGGACUCAGGUAUAAUGACUGAGAUGGAUAAGACUGAUAAAAUAUGAACGUUCAGACCCUUGAGAUGGCUGAGCAGAUAAAUGUUCUUGCUGGACAGCCUGCCUUCCUGAGCAGCCCAGGAGUGCAUAUCAAGGUAACAGAAUCAAGUCCACAGAGCUGUUCUCUGGCCUCCCUGUGAGUACAUCCAUGAUGAACCCCAAUAAAAAAAUUAAAAACAAGAAAAUCAAGAGUAAACCAUAACCUGUUCAUCAGCAAGGUAACUGCUCUGGCUAGUUUGACGGCACUCGACACACACUGCAGCAGUCUGAGUGGGAGGGAGCCUCAACUGAGGAAGGCCUCAGAAAGUCAGCUGUAGGCAAGCCUGUCGGGCAUUUCCUUAGCUAGUGAUUGAUGGGGGAGACCCAACCGACUGUAGGUGGGGGUACACUGGGCCAGUGGUCCUGGGUUCUAUCGGAAAGAAAGCAGAGCUAGCCAGUUAACAGCACUCCUCCAUGGCCUCUGCCGUGGUUUCUGUCCUCCGUGCCUUCCUGUCCCGGCUUCCUUCAGUGAUAGUCAUGUGGAAUGGUAAUUCAAAGAAGCCCUUUCUCUCCCCAACUUGCUCUUGGUCAUGGUGUUUCAUCACAGCAACAGAAACUCUAAGACAGUAGGUGACUGCGACUGCUAAGGAAAAAUUCUAUUACUAAUGCCAAUCAAAGUAGUUAACAGCUUUUCCUUUUUUCUAGCGACCAAUUUGUGUGUGUGUGUGUGUGUGUGUGUGUGUGUGGUGUGAGUGCACGUAUGAUGGUGGAUGUGUAUUUAUGAAUAUGUGUGUGUCGGGGUGUGUGUGUGUGUGUGUGUGUGUGUGCACGCAUGUAUGUGUGCAUACUGAUUCCAGAACUUAGGUUCCCAACACCCACAUAGUAGGUUGCCUCAGAUCUGGCUAUAAUAUAACCAGUUCCAGGGGAUCCAACGCUCUCUUUUGAACUUUGUCGGCUCGAGGCUCGCAGGUGGUGCCCAUACACACACGCAGGGAAAACACCCAUACACAUAAAAUAAAUCUUUUUAAAAAAUUACAUGGGCUUGCUAAUACCAGCAGUUUUUAAAACACAGAAGUAGAUGAGAAUUUAGAAGACCAAGAGAAGCACCAGGACGGGGAGACUGUCCUAUUUUAAGGCAUUAUUCACUUGCAAAGUCAAUUCAAAAGCUCUAGCUGAAGUAUUCCUGAGCCCCAGUAACGCCCACAACCUGCUCCCUCCGCCCCACCAGAGACGCGGGGGCGGGGCUAGAGAAUGCCCGGAAGAGGCGGGACCUGGAGAGCGCCUUAGGGUUGCGGCGAGCUCCGCACUUCCUUUCCGCGCGGCGCCCGGGAGCGCAGGCUUCUCGUGCAGCAUGGCGGGCGGCGGAGGCCCGGGCCUGUGGAACCCGGCCUGUCCUCGGGCUCUUCCAGGUGCGAACCCCGCGCUCUGUCCCCCGUCAGUGCGGAGCGGGGCGCCCAGCUGACGGCGCCGGUCCCUUACCGGGUACGGUGGGCCACAAGGCCUGGUCUGCGCGGCCGCUCGCGUUCGCGUUCCCGCGCGCUCGGGCUUUAAAAUAACCUGCAGAUCCUGAACUGCUCGAGCUCGGGGGACAACAGCGCUUGGCGGCCCUUAGUUAAAGGCCUGCGCCUCGGGACGCAUCGAAGUGCGGGGAGGAGCGGCCGCUUCUGACUGCAGCUUUCGCUGGACCUGCACUGUGUCCACCAGAAGAGCCACGGUGCAACCUGGUUCAGGCUGCUUACGUGCAACAAAACCUGCCUCUUGAACGUGCUUGAACAAAUGUUUUCCAGAAACGUGUCACAGAACGCGAUUUAAAUAACCACCAGGACGGCAGUUGCCAGUACCAAGGUACAGGUAUUAAGCAUGUAGGUAGCUGCAGGUGAAAGUCCCACCUCAGGAGCUGUGAUGUUUAAAAACAUGUCAUUGUUUCGGUAAGUUUGCUCAGUCACAUGUCUUGAUUGAGCAGUAUUUGAUAACACUCAGGAACUGGGACCAGUUCCUUUUCAAAUCACAUUCGAAUGUCUGUUUCCUUGACAUUUUUUCAAAAGCUGUUGAGAUAAAUACCCGGACUUAGUUUUUGAGCUUGAGGAAAAAUACCAUGGGGUUCUCACUGUCUUUUUCCUU
Molecule: long non-coding RNA, 2853 nt
Organism: Alexandromys fortis (reed vole)
Lineage: Eukaryota; Metazoa; Chordata; Mammalia; Rodentia; Cricetidae
Exons: 5
Source: RefSeq, a predicted model, not a curated record